UGGAGGAUGAGUUUAGGAGGAGGUGGAGGAGAAGGAAGUGCAAGGGAGAAGUGGAGUGUGAGAGUGAGGGCGGACGAGGUGGUGUCACUCGCCUAACGUGCAAAAAAAUCAUCUCGCCGUAAGGGAUCACUUAUCAGUCUUAAUCCCAGAUGGUGACUGAGGACACAGGCCCUGGAUUUUGUGUAGCGAGUGUUUGCGUUGAACGGCUCUAAUGUUUAAUUAACAUGAAGGUGUGGGUCAGUGUGGUGGGCAGUGCGGCAUCCCUGUUCAAUGUGGUCUCGACGUGUCGUCCUGGUGGUGGUGGUGGUGGUGCUAGAAGCACUUGGCCAGCUGGGGGCAGUACGGCUUGUCACAGGAAGGUUUGCAUGGCUCCCGGGCUUCCAGUGCUUUGAAGAGCAAGGGCUUCUUGCAAAACGUGCAUUGCUGUAGAAGAAAUGCCAUGUUAGGGACAAAGAUCUAGUGAACAUGAAAAUAUGAGUGAGGAAAAAUGACUGACUGACAUCACUCGCAGUUCAUUCCAAUACCUCAGGACAAGUGGUGUUCCCAAGCGGCAUGUUGAGUUCCUUCCACACCACCAGCAGGUCCUGCACAAACUUCUCC
This is a long non-coding RNA of Portunus trituberculatus (swimming crab), 600 nucleotides long. RefSeq lists it as uncharacterized. NCBI's taxonomy places the organism in Eukaryota, Metazoa, Arthropoda, Malacostraca, Decapoda, Portunidae. The record is from RefSeq and is a predicted model, not a curated record. The transcript is spliced from 4 exons.